RNAcentral lists this ribosomal RNA (417 nucleotides) under uncultured bacterium. Its description in RNAcentral is "bacterial SSU rRNA". It matches the Rfam family "Bacterial small subunit ribosomal RNA", at positions 92 to 507 of the family's 1533-position model. The record is from RNAcentral.
CGAGUGGCGAACGGGUGAGUAAUGUAUCGGAACGUGCCCAGUAGUGGGGGAUAACUACUCGAAAGAGUGGCUAAUACCGCAUGAGAACUGAGGUUGAAAGCGGGGACCUUCGGGCCUCGCGCUACUGGAGCGGCCGAUAUCAGAUUAGGUAGUUGGUGGGGUAAAGGCCUACCAAGGCGACGAUCCGUAGCUGGUCUGAGAGGACGACCAGCCACACUGGAACUGAGACACGGUCCAGACUCCUACGGGAGGCAGCAGUGGGGAAUUUUGGACAAUGGGGCAACCCUGAUCCAGCCAUUCCGCGUGAGUGAAGAAGGCCUUCGGGUUGUAAAGCUCUUUCGGCAGGAACGAAACGGUGGUCCCUAAUACGGAUUGCUAAUGACGGUACCUGAAGAAGAAGCACCGGCUAACUACGUG